This 1910-nucleotide long non-coding RNA is filed under the name Homo sapiens (human). RNAcentral's name for it is "non-protein coding MAFTRR:12". The record is from RNAcentral. Lineage: Eukaryota; Metazoa; Chordata; Mammalia; Primates; Hominidae.
GCGGCGUCGCGGAGCUCGGGCCGGUGGAAGGUUUACCUGCUAGGCUCGUCCCACCUGUGUGGAGCUCCCAUCGCCCUCCAGCGUUGCGCAGCCUGAAGGGACAGGACGGACAAGCGGGUGCCUCCUUCUAAUUCAUCUUCACCAUUGUGGUUGUCAAUAUGGCAUGCAGAAUUAUCCCUCUUUCCAGCUUCUGGAGUCUACCUGGAUUCCUGGGCUCAUGGCCCCUUCCUCCAUCUUCAAACCAGCAAUGGAAAUGGAAAUGAAAGCAAAAUGGAAGGACGUGAGGUCCUUAUCCUUGGAGAUCCUAUGGAGUCUCCACAGACAUUCCUUGAAGAAAUCAGAUGGAGCUGAGCCUGACACUCUAACCGGUUCUCUGGGUGUACUGCAAAGGUCUAAUAAAAGGCACCUUUGCCCGGUUGCUUCAAUUCUAGGAAGCUGUUCAAUGUUUGACUAUAUUUCUCCAUACUCAUUUGAAAACAGUUCAUCAGAGACAGAAACUAAAAUCCGUGGCUUCAGGCUGCUAAAAGCCGAAAACAAAACAAAACAGAACAACAACGACAACAACAACAAAAUAAGGUGUGUUGGAAAAGCUUGCAUGAGUUUACAUAUAUCCUCUCACUUAAUGAUCACAAUCCUGUGAGUUAAUUUGUGUUUCCUUUCUUAUGUUACUGUAAGGAAAAAAGCUUGGAGAAAUUGUGUGCCCAGGGCCACAGAACAAGAAAGUUGCAGAGAUGGAAACCCAGACAGGCUCCUCGUGGUGACCUCCCAUCCUAUUGCUGGCUCUCUGCUCUUUACUGCAACCACAUGUCACUUGGAUACCCCGGAGAGCGGCAGGAAAGCAUCAACCAGCUUCCAGAACAAACACCGUCCUGUCGACACCUUGAUCUUAGCCCCAGAGACCCAUUUCCAACUUCUGACUGCCAGAAAGAUGACAAUUCAUCAUUGAAUCCCCCAAAAGCAUGCAUCAAGCCAGAUCUAGAAAGCUUCUGUAUGCUGAGAAAGGAGGCCUACUGUACUAUGUCCACUAGACGGAACCUAAAAGGUCCGCCCCUGCUACAGGCCGCAAGGAAUGUUCUGAAACAAUCCAUGGCACAGCUGCAGAGCUAUGGAAGGGGCCUGAACCCUAACUCUCAGUACCUGGAUGGUCUCUGGCAAGACACUGCACCUCUCUGAGGUAAAACCCUCAACUUGUAGAGUUAUAAAAAUUCAUUCAUUCAAGAAAGUGGCUUUCAACUAGGGGCCAUUAUGCACCACCACCCACCAAGGGGACUUUUUGGCCAUGUUUGGGGACAUAUUUGUUUGUCACAAGCACUUUCUUUACCAUUCUUUUUUUUUUUUUUUUUUUGGGAUGGAGUCUCACUCUGUCGCCCAGGCCAGAGUGCAGUGGCGUGAUCUAGGCUGGCUGCAACCUCCACCUCCCGGGUUCAAGCAAUUCUCCUGCCUCAGCCUCCUGAGUAGCUGGGACCACAUGCACGCGCCGCCAUGCCUGGUUAAUUUUUGUAUUUUUAGUAGAGACGGGGUUUCACCAUGUUGGUCAGACUGGUCUCAAACUCCUGACUUCAUGAUCCACCCACCUUGGGCUUCCAAAGUGCUAGGAUUACAGGUGUGAGCCACCAUGCCCAGCCUUCUUUACCAUUCUUUAUGAGGCAUUUGAUAUUAUAGAAAAAUCCUUUAAGUCACUAAACAGUUGGUCAAGAUUCAGACCUUCAUUUUUGUUUCAAGAUUUUUAUACAAAAUGUAUAUGAUCUCAAAUUACAUAGACCGGGAUGUAGGGGAAAGGAGGCAAGUAAACUAUGGUCCGCUAGAGUCACUAUGUCAAUGUUAUAUUUUUUAACCUGGUUAACAUCUCUUCAUGACAAUUUUUAGCUAUUUCCUUCCAAAGAGCCAAAACAGGAGAAAUACGAGAAUAG